ACUCCUACGGGAGGCAGCAGUAAGGAAUAUUACGCAAUGGACGAAAGUCUGACGCAGCGACGCCGCGUGGGGGAUGAAGGUCUUCGGAUUGUGAACCCCUUUCGGGAGGGAAGAUGGAGUGGGUAACCACUUGGACGGUACCUCCAGAAGCAGCCGCGGCUAACUUCGUGCCAGCAGCCGCGGUAAUACGAAGGAGGCAAGCGUUGUUCGGAUUCACUGGGCGUACAGGGAGCGUAGGCGGUUGGGUAAGCCCUCCGUGAAAUCUCCGGGCCUAACCCGGAAAGUGCAGAGGGGACUGCUCAGCUAGAGGAUGGGAGAGGAGCGCGGAAUUCCCG
RNAcentral lists this ribosomal RNA (335 nucleotides) under uncultured bacterium. Its description in RNAcentral is "bacterial SSU rRNA". It matches the Rfam family "Bacterial small subunit ribosomal RNA", at positions 335 to 672 of the family's 1533-position model. The record is from RNAcentral.